Molecule: ribosomal RNA, 769 nt
Filed under: uncultured Actinomycetes bacterium
Lineage: Bacteria; Bacillati; Actinomycetota; Actinomycetes
Description: bacterial SSU rRNA
Rfam family: Bacterial small subunit ribosomal RNA
Source: RNAcentral
AGAGUUUGAUCCUGGCUCAGGAUGAACGCUGGCGGCGUGCUUAACACAUGCAAGUCGAACGAGGUCCAACCUUCGGGUGAAGACCGAGUGGCGAACGGGUGAGUAACACGUGGGGAACCUGCCCUUCUCUCUGGGAUAACCUCGGGAAACCGAAGCUAAUACCGGAUACUCCUUGCGGACCGCAUGGUCUGCUCGGGAAAGCUCCGGCGGAGAAGGAUGGCCCCGCGGCCCAUUAGCUUGUUGGUGGGGUAACGGCCCACCAAGGCGACGAUGGGUAGCCGAGCUGAGAGGCUGAUCGGCCACACUGGGACUGAGACACGGCCCAGACUCCUACGGGAGGCAGCAGUGGGGAAUCUUGCGCAAUGGGCGAAAGCCUGACGCAGCAACGCCGCGUGCGGGAUGAAGGCUCUCGGGUCGUAAACCGCUUUCAGCAGGGAUGAAAAUGACAGUACCUGCAGAAGAAGCCCCGGCUAAAUACGUGCCAGCAGCCGCGGUAAUACGUAUGGGGCAAGCGUUAUCUGGAUUCAUUGGGCGUAAAGCGCGCGUAGGCGGCUUGUUAAGUCAGGCGUGAAAUCCGGGGGCUCAACCCGCGGCUUGCGUCUGAAACUGGCAGGCUUGAGUCUGGUAGAGGAAAGUGGAAUUCCUGGUGUAGCAGUGAAAUGCGCAGAUAUCAGGAGGAACACCAGUGGCGAAGGCGGCUUUCUGGGCCACGACUGACGCUGAGGCGCGAAAGCUAGGGGAGCGAACAGGAUUAGAUACCCUGGUAGUC